This 4377-nucleotide long non-coding RNA is filed under the name Physcomitrium patens. RNAcentral's name for it is "long non-coding RNA (PPAT_LNC011523)". The record is from RNAcentral. Lineage: Eukaryota; Viridiplantae; Streptophyta; Bryopsida; Funariales; Funariaceae.
AAAAUUCUAGUACCGGUUGGCCUUUUUUACGUAUUUCUGUAAUACCUGAGGAAGUCUUCAGAAUAUCAACUGAUUGACAUUACAGUUUGGUAUGCCGUGCAGGAGAUAACUAUUAUGGCCCCUGCACCACCACAGCUUCAGGUUCCUGUUGAGAAGGAAAAUACAUGAUUGUUCGAUUGUAUUCUGUCUCGAUAUCAAUCAAAACAGUGCAGUUCUCUUUUUCUUGCUAUUGCUAUGUUAAUCAAGUCCUUUGAUUAUGUUACCUGGAUGUAAGAGAUUGCUGAAGCAUAGAAUAGUGUCAGAGAUCACUUUUCUGUUUUGACCGAAUAUUGCUUCCACAAUUCAACCCCAAAUAUUGUGCUUGAAUUUAACUUUGCGACUCAUCAGAUUAGUAGCUUGAAUGUUUUCUAAUUCACACUUGGAACUUUGAAGGUACGUGUCAAUUCAAUUACGUUGGAAUCCCACAAUCAACAUUUACAACAAUUAUUUGUAUAUCACUAUUGUACAAAUGUUGUAAACUUAGGUGUAUCAAUAUUUAAUACGUUUUUGAGUGACAAACUUUGAGAAUGGACAGGAGGAUACAGUCCUGGACGUAAAUAUAAUUGUAAACAUAAUUGUAAACAUAAAGAGUCUGAAGUUAAAAUACAUAUAUCCAAGUUAAGUGUUUUCAACCUAAAAAUCAUGUAUAUUCAUACACAUGGUUUUGUAUAUCAUGCAUAUAUGAGCUCCAUUUUGUUGAAUGAGUGAAACUUGAAUUUCACAAAAUAUGACUUUAAAGAAGUUUUAUGAACAUAAAAAUAGAGAUUUAGAAACAAAUUACAUAUGUUAUAAAAAAAAUGAUUUAUUUUUAAAAAUAUAUUAUCAUUUUUAUUAUUUACAAUUGAAAAAAUGACAUAAUAAGAUAUGCUCUUAUCCACCUCAAAUUCCAAUGUUCUUAUUUAUUUGAGGUUGGAAUUUAAAAGAUGCACCAAAAUAUUAAUUAAUAAGGUAAUUUCUUUUAUUUGCAUCUAUCCAAUAAGUAUUAUCUAACAUGGUUUAAAUCUAGCAAACAUUGUGCAUAAAUCUCACAACAAAUGAUUAUCAAAAUUGGUACAAAAAACAAUCAAAUUAUUAGAGUACAAAUUUUAAAGUGGUAAAAAGCAAUUAGAUUUAUUUUUAGUAGGUUAUAUAUAUAUAUAUAUAUAUAUAAAUCUUUUUUGUUGUAUGUGAGAUAUUAUUUCUUUAAAAUAUUAAAAAAGUGUUACAUAUCAAAAAUAACAUAUAGAAACACAUCAUAUAUGAAAUAUGUAAAUAAUAAGGUGUUCAAAUCACACUACAAAUAACACAAUUGAUUCUUAGAAAAAAUGAAUAAACUAAAUGAGUCUCCAAUUCUUGAACAUACUAUAUAAUAAUAAUAAUAAUAAUAAUAAAAUAAGUAGAAAAAAAGAAGUUAGUUGAAGUUAAUUAAUCAAAAUAAAAAAUAAUCAAUAUUUAUAAAAUUUUAAGAAAUGACAAUAAAUUUAUUCUUUGUCAACAUUUAUACUUCAUUCUUAUUUUUGAAGAUAUUUCUAGAUUUGUUUUAAAAAAGAAUAUUUUUUUACUACUUAUAAAUUUUAUUGAUUGAUUGAUUAUUUUUUUGUUUGUUUUUUUCUUUUUGCUUUAUGUAAAAGCAUUUUUUCUAUUGUAAAUUUUUUAUACAAAUGUUGAGUAAAGUGCAUGCAAAUCUCUAGAGAAUUCAAUAACUUAUUUACAUCAUUAGUAGUUUCUUAAGUCAACGCAAUCCUAUUUAUUUUAUAAACAUGGAAUUGUAAAAUAUUAAUGUCAUUUUUUCUAUAAAAAUAUCUAUACAAUUGUAAGUCUUGAAUCCAAAAAAUUAUUUGUAUUCAUUCAUAAUCAAAAUAAAAGCUUUAUUAUAAAUAUCUAUAUUAGUUUUUAUUGCUAUUAUUUUUUACAUUUCCAUCUUUUAAAAUAUUAUUAAUUAGAUUUUAAAAUUUAGCAAUUAUGGUUAUCAUCUAUAACUUGAUAAUUUUGACUUUUCAAAAGUUGAUAAUCCCACAACAAAAGAUUUGGAACAUAAAUGAAAAAAUAUUAUUUUUUAAUAGAUUGAAUUUAUACCUUUACAAAGAUUGAGGUUUUUACAAGAAAGGAUUCAAAGCAAGGGCAUUGCAACUAAGGUCUUGACAACCUUAAGAAUGUACUUUAAAAAUUUGCUAGAGAGAGGUAUCAACAAUUUCUUCAAUUUUUUGUUAUAAAAGAAGAACUAACAAUGUUUAAUGAACUAAAAUGCCAAUAUAAGUUGACAUAGGUAUAUCUAACAUAUUAAGAUUUUAAUUAGAAAAACUAUAUAUGUUUACAAAGGACUAAGUACAUAAUUCUAGUAAAUUGGUAAAAGUUUGUUUCUACAAUCAAAGUGAUAAUAUUUACAAGUACUUAUGAUUGAAAAUUGUUUGGUCAUUUUUAAAAUUGAUAUUCAAGCAAAGGAGAACAAAUGGCAUCUUAAAUUAUUUUCAUAUUAAACUUCUUUAAUGAUUGAUAGAUUAUCAAACUACUAAACAAAAUUAGAAUCCAUUAAAUAUAAAUUCUAUUCCUUGAGCUUCCAAAUGUACAAGAAUUACAACAAACUUGGUAACUUCAAUGAUUCCAAUGAAUAUCUUAUAUUAGUUUUAGAAAUCUCAAAUAGGUUGGUAUAUCAACAACUUUCUUUUGUCCCUAUUAGAUUAUUCUUAAAUAUUCGAAGUAGGUCAUAAGAUACAUCAAUCAUCAUAAAUUAUCCACACUCUUCUUGACAGAAGCAAGAAUACUACCUUUACUAUUCUACUACAAAUUCCAUUCUGCAAAAACCUUGAGAUGUAUCUUUUUUAUAUAAAUGUAAAUAAACAACAAUUAUGUCUUUAAAUAUAGCUUUUGGACAUUCAUCCCUAUUCAUCAUCUACAUAUACAAUUAUUAUAGAAGUAGAAUUAAGAUCUAGAAAUAAUAGCCGGACAUCCAACUUCUAAUAUGAAAUUAAUUAUAUUUGUUUUUAGAAAUUAAUAGUCAUAGGUAAAAAUUAGAUAUGUGUGAGCCUAAAAUCCACCACUUUAUGGAUUUAGUACUACACAAUGAGCUCAAGAGGUAGAAUGGAAGAACUCCCAAUUGUGAAAUUGUUAGAUUAAUUAAAAUGUGGGUGUUUGUAAUUCAAUUAAAAUUAACGCCAUAUUUAAAUUAAAAUAUCAGAUGAAAUCCACCACAUAAAAAAAUGAUAAAAGUAAGUAAUUAAAAUUUUCUUAUUAAUUCACAAUAAGAAUAAAAACUUAAGUUUAAAUUAAAAGUUAAAAGUUAAUGUUAAAAGUUAAAGUUAAAAGUUAAAGUUAAAAGUUAAAGUUAAACUUAAAUAUUAAAUUCAAAAGUUAAAGUUCAAAGUUUAAAAAUUUAAGUGAGAAUAUUAUAGGUUAAAAGUUAAGAGUUAAAAUUUAUUAGUCAAAAGUUGAAAUGUGGAGGUUACGAGUUACUGUGAAGAUAAAAGUAAAAAUAAAAUAAGAGGGGUAAAAGCGAAGGUACCUUGACAACGCCAAGGAUUGAAGGCAGCAACCCCCUUCUACUCCAAAAUUCGCCAAAAAUUUUAAUUAGCUCCAAAUUGAAUGAUUCGCAAGUUUUUGCAAAGUUAACUUAUAGGCGCUCCUGCUCCAACAAAUCUCAUUGCAAUCUAGUGAUCCAGUCGUGAGAAUUGCUCCUUUGAAGUUGAGUGAUCCAAACUGCUGCGGCGACCAACCCCCUUCACUUGGAAAUUCGCUAAAAAUUCAAAUUGUCUUCAAAUCCAGCGAAGCUUGUGCCCUUCAAAGCUUAGCUUAUAAAUCUUGAUGCUCCCAAAAUUUCAAACGAAUCCAGUUAUCAGGCACUGAGAAAUGCCUUCCCAAACUCGAUUAAUCCAAACUGCAAAGGCAGUCGACCUCUUCACACUCAAAAUUUCACCAAAAAUUCAGUUCAACUCCAAAUGGAGCGAGCCUUACCUUUUUGGAAAGCUAACAACAAAAGCUACAACCACAAAAAAAAUCACAUUGGAACUAAAACAAUUGAAUGACUGAUGGAGGGAAAUCUGAGGCUCUUGAAACCCUUAGAGUAAUUGGGAGGCCAAGGGAGCUAUUCACCACAAUGAAACGUGUUUUAAGACCCAAUGACUAUCAUUCACAACUUGAAAUCCAUGCACACCCACCCACAAAAUUCACAAUGAGAUUUAAAAUCUAAAUAAAAUUAAAAUUAGGGUUUUUGGCCAAAUUUUAGCAUGGCUUUGCCCUUCACCAAAAGAGGAGAGAGAGAGGGCUUGGAAAACCAGGCCUUUCUUAAACAAUUGCCUGGAGGCUCGUAGAAGGGUGACUACAUCUCCACCCUUGAUUUUUCAGAUCCCUAAUCUAAAUCUACGG